GUGAGAUGGCUUAACUAACAGGUACAGAGUGAGAGACAGCUCCAGUUUAUGGAUCCAGUGUGAGACUGCUCAGCUAACAGGUACAGAGUGAGAGACAGCUCAGUUUAUAGAUCCAGUGUGAGACAGCUUAGCUAACAGGUGCAGAGUGAGAGACAGCUCAGUUUAUGGAUCCAGUGUGAGACAGCUCAGCUAACAGGUGCAGAGUGAGAGACAGCUCAGUUUAUGGAUCCAGUGUGAGACAGCUCAGCUAACAGGUGCAGAGUGAGAGACAGCUCAGUUUAUAGAUAUUUUAGUUUGGGUGAGGUGCUGGGAGACGUGACCUUUGUGACAGACAUAGCAGCAUAUCAGAAAAACUAUCUCUAUGGAACCUUUACAUGUUAAACUGCUAAUAUUCCUUUAUUCGUGCUACGAACUCACACAGUGCAAAUGGCGAACGCAAAGUCAAUUCUACGUUUAUUCCAAAUAUUAGGGCACCAUAGCCACACUGAAAAAGGCUGAGAAUUGUCAGGAAUUCAAAGUAAAUUUCAAAGUAAAGGCCA
Non-coding RNA from Pelobates cultripes (western spadefoot toad), 539 nucleotides. NCBI's taxonomy places the organism in Eukaryota, Metazoa, Chordata, Amphibia, Anura, Pelobatidae. The record is from the annotation of a GenBank genome assembly.